Long non-coding RNA from Chinchilla lanigera (long-tailed chinchilla), 2041 nucleotides. RefSeq lists it as uncharacterized. The record is from RefSeq and is a predicted model, not a curated record. NCBI's taxonomy places the organism in Eukaryota, Metazoa, Chordata, Mammalia, Rodentia, Chinchillidae. The transcript is spliced from 5 exons.
AUGGCUAAGGUCUGUGGACUCUGGUGGGGACCGGUGCUGCCCAUCCUGAACUGGACUAUGGAGCCUAGUGAAACAUAAGCCACACAGUGACAUCUGGGCAGUCCACAUACACUGAGGACAUCAGGAGGAAACUGAAUGAGAGGCUGCACCUGGUGGCAUCUUGGAGCUGCAGAACCUUCACGUUAGCCACUACCUCAUAUUUCAUAGAGCUGGCCCGCCUCCAUAUGUACCCACUUCUGGCUGCCCAGCGGACCCAAGGGACCUUCAGAUCAUCAGCGAGAACAGCUAGAGGCUGAAAGCCAGGGUGCCCCAACAUGGCCCCAUUCCAGCUCAAUGCAGUGUCCGUCUCCAGACUCAGAUCUAUGGGCAACAGCUAAUCUAGCACAUGCCUGUCACGAGGGGACACGCCCAUCCCCCAUUCCCGUCUCCGCCCACAGAUGUGGUGUCUGUGACAUCUAGGUACAACUCCAGCUGCAGGCCCCUCUCCUAAUCCCUCCUAGUCUUGUUCACCCCAUUGACCCCUCUGAGUAAAUGUCAGAGCUGGUCACAGAGCCCAGGGUUGGUGCCCAGUAGCAGCAGCGAGUCCCCACAAAAUCCAGCCCUACUUCUGGGCUGCAAGAGACUUACCUCACAGUAAUUAGUUCAUUAUGUCUGAGGUGCGUCUUAUUCCCCUGGAGACUUCCCAGUCAUUACAAGGUGGUAUGUUAUUAAAAAUGAUUUAUGGAGGCUAAAAGCAUUGGAUGAAGAUCUCAGUGGUGAGAAUGCUGGGCCCAAGUCAAAGAAUUUACCCAAACUCAGCUUGGAUGUAAAUCACAAACUGUGGCUCCUCCAGCCCAGCCCUGACCACCGCACUCCACUUCCCCACCUCCCAGCAUGAAGAGGUAGAGUCCUCCCUGCUCCUCAGGGAAACUGCAGAGGGAGCUAAGUCCAAUCACUUUGAAGCAGGCCACAGCUCCAGCAUGCAGAAGGACGAUCGUGGGAAGCACCACAUCCUGCUGCUGUACCCUCUAUGGGUACAGGGGAAGCGGGGGCCGUACCGCAGGCCUGCACCCCAUAGCUGACACAGGGCGAGUCUGGGCUUGGAGCCUCCGCGAGCUCAGAAUGUUGGACCUGAGUGUUCCCUGCUCCCUCUGAGAUGACAGGUGAGCCUGUGCCAGGAAGAUCUGAGCUUCUGCACCUCUGUCUUCAUGAGCAGAAAAUCACCUUGGCCUGGGAGAUGACCAGAUCCACUGUGUGCAGGAGAAAACUUCAGUCUCAAAGAGGUCAAGCUGUCUCCCGAGACUUACAGGAAAUAACCAAGAUUCUCACUCAACUCUGGGAUGUAUCCUCCACUUACCUGUCUGUGUUAUAUCCCACCUCCCAGCCCUGUGGACAGGAAAAGACAAGGGCUGAGGAUGCUGGGGAGAAAAAGGUCCUGGAGCCAAGCAGCAGGAGAAACCAGAGCAGCAAAGGGAAGUUCUUGCGUGGCAGCAGAGGUAGUGACCACAGUGGCAGGAUGGGGAAUCCGUGGCCCCAUUCUGUCAUUGAACAGCUCUGUGGGGUCACAGUGCAGCACCUAGUGGACAUUCACAAGUACUAUCUGAAGGAGCAAAACAGACUCUUAAAUAAUGUGACUCAUUAUUAUUCACAGAAUCACAUGAUGUCAAGAGAGACAGGAUGUCCGAUGUCCCAGACACAUCUGGUGGGGGAGCCAGCGAUCAGGGAGUGACCCCUGGCCCAUGGGCUUAGGAUGACUCAUGUGCCAACUCCCUUUGAUGACGUGACCAAUGGGUCCUCCUACAUCUCCCCAUGGGCAGUUAGAGCCACAGCAGAUGAGCCACCAACCAGCUAUGAACCUGGUGACUUCAUAGCUGAAUGUGCUGUUAGGAGGUGCGCUCUGGUCACUGGGGGCAUGGCUGGGAAGGUUGUAUUUUGUCCCUAGCUCCUUCCUCUCUCUCUGCUUCCUGGCUGCAUGAGCGGAGCAGCUGUCUUCUGCCAUGCCUUUCCGCUAGGCUGUUUUUGCCUUGGGGUUAACCCACAUGGACUAACUCUUGGAAAUUAU